UCUGUGCCAUGAAAACCUCCUCGUCCUCCUCUGGGUCCCGGAGCUGAGCCAAACCAACGGAAACAACUGCGUCUCCCUGCUGACACCCAGUGGCCACAGUGGUAACUGCAGCCUGUUCACCUGGGAAUUAAAACCACAUUUCAGGCCUCCUCUGGUGUGUCAAUGGGGAAAGGGGGCAGAGAGGCGAGCAUGUGAUCGGCCUGCAAAAUAUUCCAGAGAGCAGCGAGACGAAUCGGGAGCCAGAUUGUAAAGAUGUAAUGGGACUAGAUGGCACGUCCUUUAAAAGAGGCCCCCAAAAAUUAUGAGGAAAUCUCAACAGCAACGUGUCUCUUUCCUGGAAAUCAAGACCCCCGGUUUGCUCCAGAUGAUCCACAGAUCUAGA
Molecule: long non-coding RNA, 382 nt
Organism: Cyclopterus lumpus (lumpfish)
Lineage: Eukaryota; Metazoa; Chordata; Actinopteri; Perciformes; Cyclopteridae
Exons: 3
Source: RefSeq, a predicted model, not a curated record